This 459-nucleotide ribosomal RNA is filed under the name uncultured bacterium. Its description in RNAcentral is "bacterial SSU rRNA". It matches the Rfam family "Bacterial small subunit ribosomal RNA", at positions 340 to 786 of the family's 1533-position model. The record is from RNAcentral.
UACGGGAGGCAGCAGGGGGGAAUAUUGCACAAUGGGCGCAAGCCUGAUGCAGCCAUGCCGCGUGUAUGAAGAAGGCCUUAGGGUUGUAAAGUACUUUCAUCGGGGAGGAAAAAACAAAACUAAUAAUUUUAUUUCUUGACGUUACCCGAAAAAGAAGCACCGGCUAACUCCGUGCCAGCAGCCGCGGUAAUACGGAGGGUGCUAGCGUUAAUCAGAAUUACUGGGCGUAAAGAGCACGUAGGUGGUUUUUUUAAGUUCAGAUGUGAAAUCCCUGGGCUUAACCUAGGAACUGCAUUUUGAAACUGAAAUACUAGAGUAUCGUAGAGGGAGGUAGAAUUCUAGGUGUAGCGGUGAAAUGCGUAGAUAUCUGGAGGAAUACCUGUGGCGAAAGCGGCCUCCUAAACGAAUACUGACACUGAGGGUGCGAAAGCGUGGGGAGCGAAACAGGGAUUAGAUACC